Molecule: unclassified non-coding RNA, 222 nt
Filed under: uncultured fungus
Lineage: Eukaryota; Fungi
Description: sequence contains ITS1
Source: RNAcentral
UUAAAUGAUUGCGCUUUCACGCUCAGACAGCAAAGACCUUGCAGAGUUCGGUAAGACUUUGGUGGACACAGGCCUGGGAAACUAGUUCCCUGGCGGCUGAGUGGCGGGCCCACCAAAGCAACAGAUUGAGGUAAGCAAGGGUGGCCAGGUGAAAGAUCACUCCCUUUCCAGGGCGACCUUCACGGCUCGUUAAUGAUCCUUCCGCAGGUUCACCUACGGAAA